This 1407-nucleotide ribosomal RNA is filed under the name Kluyvera sp. ES392. RNAcentral's name for it is "bacterial SSU rRNA". It matches the Rfam family "Bacterial small subunit ribosomal RNA". Lineage: Bacteria; Pseudomonadati; Pseudomonadota; Gammaproteobacteria; Enterobacterales; Enterobacteriaceae. The record is from RNAcentral.
GGCUCAGAUUGAACGCUGGCGGCAGGCCUAACACAUGCAAGUCGAGCGGUAGCACAGAGAGCUUGCUCUCGGGUGACGAGCGGCGGACGGGUGAGUAAUGUCUGGGAAACUGCCUGAUGGAGGGGGAUAACUACUGGAAACGGUAGCUAAUACCGCAUAACGUCGCAAGACCAAAGUGGGGGACCUUCGGGCCUCAUGCCAUCAGAUGUGCCCAGAUGGGAUUAGCUAGUAGGUGGGGUAAUGGCUCACCUAGGCGACGAUCCCUAGCUGGUCUGAGAGGAUGACCAGCCACACUGGAACUGAGACACGGUCCAGACUCCUACGGGAGGCAGCAGUGGGGAAUAUUGCACAAUGGGCGCAAGCCUGAUGCAGCCAUGCCGCGUGUAUGAAGAAGGCCUUCGGGUUGUAAAGUACUUUCAGCGAGGAGGAAGGCGUUAAGGUUAAUAACCUUGGUGAUUGACGUUACUCGCAGAAGAAGCACCGGCUAACUCCGUGCCAGCAGCCGCGGUAAUACGGAGGGUGCAAGCGUUAAUCGGAAUUACUGGGCGUAAAGCGCACGCAGGCGGUCUGUCAAGUCGGAUGUGAAAUCCCCGGGCUCAACCUGGGAACUGCAUUCGAAACUGGCAGGCUAGAGUCUUGUAGAGGGGGGUAGAAUUCCAGGUGUAGCGGUGAAAUGCGUAGAGAUCUGGAGGAAUACCGGUGGCGAAGGCGGCCCCCUGGACAAAGACUGACGCUCAGGUGCGAAAGCGUGGGGAGCAAACAGGAUUAGAUACCCUGGUAGUCCACGCCGUAAACGAUGUCGACUUGGAGGUUGUGCCCUUGAGGCGUGGCUUCCGGAGCUAACGCGUUAAGUCGACCGCCUGGGGAGUACGGCCGCAAGGUUAAAACUCAAAUGAAUUGACGGGGGCCCGCACAAGCGGUGGAGCAUGUGGUUUAAUUCGAUGCAACGCGAAGAACCUUACCUACUCUUGACAUCCAGAGAACUUAGCAGAGAUGCUUUGGUGCCUUCGGGAACUCUGAGACAGGUGCUGCAUGGCUGUCGUCAGCUCGUGUUGUGAAAUGUUGGGUUAAGUCCCGCAACGAGCGCAACCCUUAUCCUUUGUUGCCAGCGGUCCGGCCGGGAACUCAAAGGAGACUGCCAGUGAUAAACUGGAGGAAGGUGGGGAUGACGUCAAGUCAUCAUGGCCCUUACGAGUAGGGCUACACACGUGCUACAAUGGCAUAUACAAAGAGAAGCGACCUCGCGAGAGCAAGCGGACCUCAUAAAGUAUGUCGUAGUCCGGAUUGGAGUCUGCAACUCGACUCCAUGAAGUCGGAAUCGCUAGUAAUCGUAGAUCAGAAUGCUACGGUGAAUACGUUCCCGGGCCUUGUACACACCGCCCGUCACACCAUGGGAGUGGGUUGCAA